UACAGAGGGGGCAAGCGUUGUUCGGAAUUACUGGGCGUAAAGGGCGCGUAGGCGGCCUACUAAGUCGAACGUGAAAUCCCCGGGCUUAACCCGGGAACUGCGUCCGAUACUGGUUGGGCUUGAAUCCGGGAGAGGGAUGUGGAAUUCCAGGUGUAGCGGUGAAAUGCGUAGAUAUCUGGAGGAACACCGGUGGCGAAGGCGGCAUCCUGGACCGGUAUUGACGCUGAGGCGCGAAAGCCAGGGGAGCAAACGGG
This 254-nucleotide ribosomal RNA is filed under the name uncultured bacterium. RNAcentral describes it as "partial 16S ribosomal RNA". It matches the Rfam family "Bacterial small subunit ribosomal RNA", at positions 524 to 776 of the family's 1533-position model. The record is from RNAcentral.